UGCUCAGGACGAACGCUGGCGGCGUGCCUAAUACAUGCAAGUCGAGCGGACCUUUUAAAAGCUUGCUUUUGAAAGGUCAGCGGCGGACGGGUGAGUAACACGUGGGCAACCUGCCUGUAAGACUGGGAUAACUUCGGGAAACCGGAGCUAAUACCGGAUAAUAUAAGGAACCUCCUGGUUCUUUAUUGAAAGAUGGUUUCGGCUAUCACUUACAGAUGGGCCCGCGGCGCAUUAGCUAGUUGGUGAGGUAACGGCUCACCAAGGCGACGAUGCGUAGCCGACCUGAGAGGGUGAUCGGCCACACUGGGACUGAGACACGGCCCAGACUCCUACGGGAGGCAGCAGUAGGGAAUCUUCCACAAUGGACGAAAGUCUGAUGGAGCAACGCCGCGUGAGCGAUGAAGGCCUUCGGGUCGUAAAGCUCUGUUGUUAGGGAAGAACAAGUGCGAGAGAACUGCUCGCACCUGACGGACCACCA
Molecule: ribosomal RNA, 478 nt
Filed under: Bacillus sp. AKB-B1W-30
Lineage: Bacteria; Bacillati; Bacillota; Bacilli; Caryophanales; Bacillaceae
Description: bacterial SSU rRNA
Rfam family: Bacterial small subunit ribosomal RNA
Source: RNAcentral